GACAUCGUGGGGACGUGGGGACACAGGGAUGUGGGGACAUCGUGGGGACAUGAGGGUAAGGGGAUACUAUAGGGACAUGGGGACACCAUGGGGACACCAUAGGGACGUGGGGACACAAGGACAUGGGGACAUCGUGGGGAUAUGGGGAUAAGGGGGUAUCACAGGGACGUGGGGACAUGAUGGGGACAAGGGACACGGCUGGCAUGGGGACGUUGUGGGGACACAAGGAUAUGGGGACAUCAUAGGGACAUCGUGGAGAUGUCAUGGGGACACAGGGACAUGGGGACACAGGGACAUGGGGACGUCGUGGGGACACAAGGACAUGGGGACAUCGUGGGGAUAAGGGACACAGGGACGUGGGGACGUUGUGGGGACAUUGUGGGGACAUGGGGACAUAGGGAUAUGGGGACAUUGUGGGGAUGUGGGGACACAGGGAUGUGGGGACAUCAUGGGGACAUCAUGGGGACAAGUGACACAGGGACAUGGGGACAUUGUGGGGACACCAUGGGGACAUGGGGACACAAGGAUAUGGGGACAUCGUGGAGAUAUGGGGUCACAGGGACAUCGGGACAUCAUGGGGACAUGGGGACGUUGUGGAGAUGUUGUGGGGACACCAUGGGGACGUCAUAGGGACAAAGGGACAAAGGGAUGACAUGGGGACACACUGUAGGGCUGCUAUGGGGCCGUUAUGGGGCGGCUAUGGGGCACUGUGGGGACGUGAUGGGGAUGUGGGGAUAUGGGGACGGCCCCACAAAUUCAUCCCCCAUAACCGCCCCACAGCUGCCCUAUAGCUGCCCCAUAACCACCCUAUAACUGCCUUAUAGCUGCCCCAUAACUGCCCCAUAGCUGCUGCAUAACCGCCCCAUAACUGCCCCAUAGCUGCCCUAUAACCACCCCAUAGCUGCUCCAUAGCUGCCCUAUAACCACCCCAUAACCGCCCCACAGCUGCCCCAUAACUGCCUCAUAACCACCCCAUAAUUACCCCAUAACCACCCCAUAGCUGCCCUAUAGCUGCCCUAUAACAGCCCCAUAGCUGCCCUAUAGCUGCCCCAUAACCACCCCAUAGCUGCCCUAUAACAGCCCCAUAACUGCCCCAUAGCUGCCCUAUAACAGCCCCAUAACUGCCCCAUAGCUGCCCCAUAGCCGCCCCAUAGAUCCCCCAUAACCGCCCCAUAGCCGCCCCAUAGAUCCCCCAUAACCCCCCACACCGGGGGAGGGGCCGCCAUGGCGUGUGUGUGGGCGGAGGUCAGAGGUCAGGGCGGAGGUCAGAGGUCAAGGC
This 1279-nucleotide long non-coding RNA is filed under the name Phasianus colchicus (ring-necked pheasant). RNAcentral's name for it is "lncRNA (ENSPCLG00000019053.1)". Lineage: Eukaryota; Metazoa; Chordata; Aves; Galliformes; Phasianidae. The record is from RNAcentral.